This 497-nucleotide ribosomal RNA is filed under the name uncultured bacterium. RNAcentral describes it as "partial 16S ribosomal RNA". It matches the Rfam family "Bacterial small subunit ribosomal RNA", at positions 28 to 507 of the family's 1533-position model. The record is from RNAcentral.
GAUGAACGCUGGCGGCGUGCCUAAUACAUGCAAGUCGAGCGAACAGACGAGGAGCUUGCUCCUCUGACGUUAGCGGCGGACGGGUGAGUAACACGUGGAUAACCUACCUAUAAGACUGGGAUAACUUCGGGAAACCGGAGCUAAUACCGGAUAAUAUAUUGAACCGCAUGGUUCAAUAGUGAAAGACGGUUUUGCUGUCACUUAUAGAUGGAUCCGCGCCGCAUUAGCUAGUUGGUAAGGUAACGGCUUACCAAGGCAACGAUGCGUAGCCGACCUGAGAGGGGGAUAGGCCACACUGGAACUUGGACACGGUCCAGACUCCGACGGGAGGCAGCAGUAGGGAAUCUUCAGCAAUGGGCGAAAGACUGACGGAGCAACGCGGCGUGAGUGAUGAAGGUCUUCGGAUCGUAAAACUCUGUUAUUAGGGAAGAACAAAUGUGUAAGUAACUAUGCACGUCUUGACGGUACCUAAUCAGAAAGCCACGGCUAACUACGUG